CCCCCCCCCCCCCCCCCCCGGUGUCGGGCGGGUCCUGCGGGAGGUGCUGGAGAGAGCGGGGGCGGCGCUGGGAGCAAUCGGAGGGCUCCGGGAGCUUCUGAGGCAGCCGGGACAGGUUCGGGCUUCGGGAACAGGGGAGGAGGAGGAGGGAGGAAGAGGCAGAGCAGCAGCAGGAAGCAGUAGGAGAAGAGGAGAGAAGCAAUCGCGUGGCCCUGGCACUUCCUGAAGUUGAUGCAGCCCUGGGAGCAUCGCCCCCCAUCCCGCAGGAUUUCCCAUUCCCAGCCCAAGGGAGGCUGCAAGGAAAAGGAAGAUGCCCCAGGACAUGCAGGCAGAGCAGGAGCUGAGGAUGGAGAGCAGGGAGGACAAAUCUCCACGGCAGAACCUCUUGGAAGAGGCCGUUUUGAGUGGCUCCACGGCGCAGGAACCCAACGAGGAGGAAAAGCCCAGGAGAUGCCACAUGAGGAGGGGCUGCAAACGCAGAUUGAGGGGAUCUGAGGGGGAAAGACCCAGCCUGGGCUGGGAAGGCAGCCAGAGAUGGAGCCAGAGCUCGGAGCUGGUGGUCCAUGGGCAGCUCCAUGAUGGGGAGAAGCCCCACAAGUGCUUGGACUGUGGGAAGAGCUUCCAGAUAAGCUCCGAGCUGAUCCAACACUAGAGGACCCACACUGGGGAACGGCCCUACGAGUGUUAUCAGUGCAGGAAGAGGUUUCAGACCAGCUCUGAUCUCCUCGUGCACCAGUGCAUGCACACAGAGGUGAGGCCCUUCUUCUGCCAUGACUGUGGGCAGGGCUUCAGGCAGAACUCCCAUCUUGUCAGGCACCGGCUCAUCCACACUGGGGAGAGACCCCACGAGUGUGGGGAAUGUGGGAAGAGCUUCAGCUGGAGCUCCACCCUGAUCCAGCACCAGAGGACCCACACUGGGGAACAGCCCUAUGGGUGUGUGGAAUGUGGGAAGAGCUUCAGACAUGGCGCCAACCUGAUUGUCCUCCAAAAGAAUCAUGCUAGGGAGAGGCCCUAUGAGUGUCUCCAGUGUGGGAAGAGCUUCUCACAGAGCUCUCACUUGACCAAACACUAAUGGAGCCACCGGUAAGGGAAGCCCUGCGAAUGCCCCGAGUGCGGGAAGAGCUUUGUGCACUGCUCCAGCUCCAUCCCCCACUGCAGGACCCACCUUGGGCAGAGCCUUGGUGACCCACAUUCCCUGUAAUCCAUGUUGGGAACACACCUGGCUGCUUCUCGUUUUGGUUUGGCCUUAAUUUUUUUCUGAUUCAUCUUCAUCCCUUAAAAACAGCCAUAACUGGGUUAAAUGAAUUAAAUUGAUUAAAGAUGUCUAAAGUCCCACCAUUUCUGAGGUGUUUGAGGGGGAAUUUCAGAUUUGGGGACACAUUCUGUGUGGAGUGCCCCUGUUGCUAGGAGGCAGGAAUUUGAUCUUACCCUUCUUGUGUUGCUAAGAACUCCUCCCUUGACCCAAACCCUAACUCCACCCCUGGGAUACCCUAUAAAAAGCCCCUGGCCCUGCCUUUGCCCUGUCUUUUGGGGGUAAGAAAUGGAUUCUGGAGCUUUCUGAAACCAAGACCCGUCUCAUUUGUUCCUGGCACCGGCAGCUGCAGCCUCCCUGGACAUCAGGAACUCUGGAGAAUGGGGGCAGCCAGUGAGGACGUGUCCUGGAUUGCAAGUUAAGUGUGUGUUCUGUUUGCCAUCUGUCAGAGGUGGGGCAGUUAUCUUCUGUUCAUUGGGCAGUUUAUCUCUUCCACAACCAAUCCUCCCUCCAGGAGAUGUCUUCUGUCAAUAAUUAUUAAUUGUUAAUUAUCUUCUGUUAAUGGGCCAUUGAGUGUCACUGCAUGGCUGAUAAAAUGACAUCAUGCCACUGGGAGAUGCUCCGCCCGGGGGAAGGAGCCAAGCAUUUCUUCCUGGAUAGAAUCUGAGGUUUGGAACAUUGCAGCAGCCUUUUCCCACUGGAUUCCCAGAGGAUCAGCCCUUUUCCCACUGAAUUCCCAGAGGAUCUGCCUUUUCCCACUGGAUUCCCAGAGGAGCAGCCUUUUCCCACUGGAUUCCCAGAGGAAGACCAGGGCCAUCUAUACCACCACUGGACCUUCAGAGGAAAACUCCACCCUUCUCCAGGAUCCCUGCUCAAACAGAACCACACCUGUCACUGCAGGAGGGCUGCAGCCACCAUUUAAUGGGACUGCUGCCAACACCCUGACCCACAGGAUGUCAGGUUGUAUUGUGCCUCUGUCAGUGUUUUGAGUUUUGUUUUUUUUUUGUCCUAUUGCAUUUGUAUUUUUAAUUUUUCCUAAAAAAGAACUCCUAUUCCCAUAACUUUGCCUGAGAGCCCCUUAAUUCAGAAUUAUAACAAUUCAGAAGGAGGGGGUUUACAUUUUCCAUUUCAGGGGAGGCGUCUGCCUUCCUUAGCAGACACCUGGCUUUUCAAACCAAGACAGGACAGAACGACCAGCACCCCAUAAGUCACCCCCUGAUGGCCACACCUUGUGGGACCCCCAUCUUAAACAGGAAGAUGCAAGGACAUCAUGACACGAGGUCAGGUUUGAAACAUAAACUUUAAGGAAUUUAGAAAUUUUAGAGGAGCUAAGAUUUUAGUUAGAGAUAAGCUUUAUUUGAGUUAAUCAAGAUGAAUAGGUAGGCCUUGAUGAAGUUAAGAGUUAUUAGCUAACUAAUAAUGGAUUGCUUGUCAACACAAUGUUUGGUUAGCUGGGUUUAUAAUGAAGAAUAUAGAAACUGAUAAAUAGCUUUUAGGGACAGUUGUGGGCCUCCUCUGUUCUGAAACCAAUUGAAGACAGAGAAUGGGAGUUCUACCAAGGGUUCAUUUGUCAUACUUGCAUUGAAAAGGUAGAAAGGUCAGAAUGAGGAAGACUUCAUUUACGUCCUCAUUUUGGGACCCGUCCCCAUGAAAGGGACCCCGACCCAUUUCAAAGAACAAACAACGCAUGAUUAUUAGCUUUUGAACUAAUUAGCAUAUGAAGCGGGGAAUGAGAUGUAACAAAAUUAUGAAAAUGUAUUUGUAUUUUGGGUAUUCAAUAGUUGUAUGGAUAAAAGGACUCUGUAAUCACCUGUAAAUCAUGGUGUGUAUUUGGGAGCUAUCCCACACGCCACCCGGCAUCGCAAUAAACAUACACUUUCUAACUUUAAA
This is a long non-coding RNA of Passer domesticus (house sparrow), 3142 nucleotides long. RefSeq lists it as uncharacterized. The record is from RefSeq and is a predicted model, not a curated record. The transcript has 4 exons. Lineage: Eukaryota; Metazoa; Chordata; Aves; Passeriformes; Passeridae.